UACAGAGGGUGCAAGCGUUAAUCGGAUUUACUGGGCGUAAAGCGCACGCAGGUGGCUGAGUCAGUCGAUUGUGAAAGCCCUGGGCUUAACCUGGGAAUUGCAGUCGAUACUACUCAGCUAGAGUAUGGGAGAGGGUAGUGGAAUUCCCGGUGUAGCGGUGAAAUGCGUAGAUAUCGGGAGGAACAUCAGUGGCGAAGGCGGCUACCUGGCCCAAUACUGACACUCAGGUGCGACAGCGUGGGGAGCAAACAGG
Molecule: ribosomal RNA, 253 nt
Filed under: uncultured bacterium
Lineage: Bacteria
Description: partial 16S ribosomal RNA
Rfam family: Bacterial small subunit ribosomal RNA
Source: RNAcentral